Molecule: small RNA, 125 nt
Filed under: Marmota monax (woodchuck)
Lineage: Eukaryota; Metazoa; Chordata; Mammalia; Rodentia; Sciuridae
Source: RNAcentral
GCUGGGCACAGUGGCGCAUGCCUGUAAUACCAGUGGCUGGGGAGGCUGAGGCAGGAGGAUCUUGAAUUCAAGGCCAGCCUCAGAAAUUUAGCAAGGCCCUAAGCAACUUAGUGCCCCAGCCUUUU